RNAcentral lists this long non-coding RNA (963 nucleotides) under Oryzias sinensis (Chinese medaka). RNAcentral's name for it is "lncRNA (ENSOSIG00000005238.1)". The record is from RNAcentral. Lineage: Eukaryota; Metazoa; Chordata; Actinopteri; Beloniformes; Adrianichthyidae.
CCAAGCUUUCAUUAUUUUUGCAUGCUCUUGAUGUACACCCUCAGCAGUCAGUGUCUAUUUUGGGCAGGUAUUUUUCUUCUCAGCAGCACCAGCAGCAUAAGAGUAAAUAAUAGUGCUCCACUGCCUCUGUGACGCCUCCCCUGUUAUCAAGCUUCAGUGACGAGGUUAAAAACAUGAAACUGGAUUAUACAAACCAGACGUGGAGGUGUGAUGACUUGUCAGACUAGAGAGGAAAAUUUGUGAACAUGUGUCAAGUGCCCACCAGUGAUGAAGCUCCAGCCCUGUAUUUAAUAUGACAGAAAUUAAACUCGUGCAUAUGUUCACUUUAGCAGUUAUUGCUGUGCAUGGAUGCAUUUUAAGGCAUUCAGGAACAUGAGGGGAUCUGUUUAUCAGAGUUUGCAAGAGAGAGACAGAAAGUAAUGAAUGUAGUUAGAUGGAGGUGGCAGAGGAGAGUGAUGGAUCGCCUGUGAGCUGCAGGCUGGGUCCCCGGGGAGGGACGCUGCUGCAUCCUACCAUAGAAGGACAACUUAGAGUAAUUGGGUCACUGGCACUGGGAGGGGAGUCUCCACCAAGCUAUUCUUUAAGGGAGAAAGACAUAGAAGGAAAGUUCAGUUGAAAGGAAGCCCAAUGAAGGACACACCACAGACCUUACAUGCUGGAUAAGAGCAAAGCUUGGAGAGAGAGAACUGGUCAUCUCUGAUGUGGAUUUUAUGAAACUGAGCUGUGAAGAGUGAAGACUAACAAAAAAGUCUGAGCACCUUUUGAAUUGUGGGACCAAAAUGUCUUUGCAACACCGUCUCUGAUUCAAGAGUAGCUUGAAGAUGAGGAAUCUCCGUGAUGGUGAUCAGAAGCAACAACUGGAUAACUGAGGGGGGUCAGAUAUUUCCAAAUAAACUUUAUGAAUGUUGUCAGAAAAUUCUGGUCUACAUGUUAUAAUCCAUCAUCUAUUUAAUUAUCAGACAG